This 101-nucleotide unclassified non-coding RNA is filed under the name Tenuibacillus multivorans. The record is from RNAcentral. Lineage: Bacteria; Bacillati; Bacillota; Bacilli; Caryophanales; Bacillaceae.
GAUCGCUGUGUGCGAUGAAAGUUGCAUGCAUGGUGAAGGCUCGAAACGAAAGCCACAUGUUUGUGGUAUAAGACGAGAAUAGCGAACCAACUGAUGAGCAA